GAUGAACGCUGGCGGCGUGCCUAAUACAUGCAAGUCGAGCGAACAGACGAGGAGCUUUCUCCUCUGACGUUAGCGGCGGACGGGGGAGUAACACGUGGAAAACCUACCUAUAAGACUGGGAUAACUUCGGGAAACCGGAGCUAAUACCGGAUAAUAUAUUUAACCGCAUGGUUCAAUAGUGAAAGACGGUUGUGCUGUCACUUAUAGAUGGAUCCGCGCCGCUUUAGCUGGUUGGUAAGGUAACGGCUAACCAAGGGAACGAUGGGGAGCGGACCGGAGAGGGUGACGGGCCCAACGGGACCGGGACACCGGCCAAGACUCCUACGGGAGGAAGCAGUAGGGAACCUUCCGCAAUGGGCGAAGGCCUGAGGGAGCAACGCCGCGGGAGUGAGGAAGGUCUUCGGAUCGUAAAACUCGGUUAUCAGGGAAGAACAAAUGUGUAAGAAACUAUGCACGUAUUGACGGUACCUAAUCAGAAAGCCACGGCUAACUACGUG
Molecule: ribosomal RNA, 497 nt
Filed under: uncultured bacterium
Lineage: Bacteria
Description: partial 16S ribosomal RNA
Rfam family: Bacterial small subunit ribosomal RNA
Source: RNAcentral